RNAcentral lists this ribosomal RNA (1378 nucleotides) under uncultured bacterium. Its description in RNAcentral is "16S ribosomal RNA". It matches the Rfam family "Bacterial small subunit ribosomal RNA". The record is from RNAcentral.
ACGCUGGCGGCGUGCUUAACACAUGCAAGUCGAACGGUAAGGCUCCUUUGGGGGUACACGAGUGGCGAACGGGUGAGUAUCACGUGAGUAACGUGCCCUGGACUCUGGGAUAACUGCCGGAAACGGUGGCUAAUACUGGAUAGGACCUGUCUCCGCAUGGGGGUGGGUGGAAAGCGUUUGAGUGGUUCGGGAUCGGCUCGCGGCCUAUCAGCUUGUUGGUGGGGUAGUGGCUUACCAAGGCUUUGACGGGUAGCCGGCCUGAGAGGGUGAUCGGCCACAUUGGGACUGAGAUACGGCCCAGACUCCUACGGGAGGCAGCAGUGGGGAAUAUUGCACAAUGGACGGAAGUCUGAUGCAGCAACGCCGCGUGUGGGAUGACGGCUUUCGGGUUGUAAACCACUUUCGGCAGGGACGAAGCGUGAGUGACGGUACCUGUAGAAGAAGCACCGGCCAACUACGUGCCAGCAGCCGCGGUGAUACGUAGGGUGCGAGCGUUGUCCGGAAUUAUUGGGCGUAAAGAGCUUGUAGGCGGUUGAUCGCGUCGGGAGUGAAAACCUAUGGCUUAACUGUGGGCGUGCUUUCGAUACGGGUUGACUUGAGGGGCGUAGGGGAGAAUGGAAUUCCUGGUGGAGCGGUGGAAUGCGCAGAUAUCAGGAGGAACACCGGUGGCGAAGGCGGUUCUCUGGACGUUUCCUGACGCUGAGAAGCGAAAGCGUGGGGAGCAAACAGGCUUAGAUACCCUGGUAGUCCACGCUGUAAACGGUGGGUACUAGGUGUGGGGACCAUUCCACGGUUUCCGUGCCGUAGCUAACGCAUUAAGUACCCCGCCUGGGGAGUACGGCCGCAAGGCUAAAACUCAAAGGAAUUGACGGGGCCCCGCACAAGCGGCGGAGCAUGCGGAUUAAUUCGAUGCAACGCGAAGAACCUUACCUGGGUUUGACAUACACCGGAAGCGCGCAGAGAUGUGUGUGCCUGUUUGGCUGGUGUACAGGUGGUGCAUGGCUGUCGUAAACACGUGUCGUGAGAUGUUGGGUUAAGUCCCGCAACGAGCGCAACCCUUGUCCAAUGUUGCCAGCACGUGGUGGUGGGGAUUCAUUGGAGACCGCCGGGCCCAACUCGGAGGAAGGUGGGUAUGAGGUCAAGUUAUCAUGCCCCUUAUGUCCAGGGCUUCUCGCACGGUACAAUGGUUGGUACAAACCGUUGCCACUCUGUGAGGUGGAGCGAAUCGGAGAAAGCCGGUCUCAGUUCGGAUUGGGGUCUCUUUCUCGACCCCACCAAGUCGGAGUCGCUAGUAAUCGCAGAUCAGCACCGUUUCGGUCAAUUCGUUCCCGGUCCUUGGACACUCCCCCCGUCAAGUCAUGAAAGUUGGUCACACCUG